AUUGAACGCUGGCGGAAUGCUUUACACAUGCAAGUCGAACGGCAGCACGGACUUCGGUCUGGUGGCGAGUGGCGAACGGGUGAGUAAUGUAUCGGAACGUGCCCAGUCGUGGGGGAUAACGUAGUGAAAAUUACGCUAAUACCGCAUACGAUCUAUGGAGGAAAGCGGGGGAUGGCAAGACCUCGCGCGAUGGGAGCGGCCGAUAUCAGAUUAGGUAGUUGGUGGGGUAAAGGCCCACCAAGCCAACGAUCUGUAGCUGGUCUGAGAGGACGACCAGCCACACUGGAACUGAGACACGGUCCAGACUCCUACGGGAGGCAGCAGUGGGGAAUUUUGGACAAUGGGCGAAAGCCUGAUCCAGCCAUUCCGCGUGCAGGAUGAAGGCCCUCGGGUUGUAAACUGCUUUUGUACAGAACGAAAAGGUUUCUACUAAUACUAGGAGCUCAUGACGGUACUGUAAGAAUAAGCACCGGCUAACUACGUGCCAGCCGCCGCGGUAA
Molecule: ribosomal RNA, 500 nt
Filed under: uncultured bacterium
Lineage: Bacteria
Description: partial 16S ribosomal RNA
Rfam family: Bacterial small subunit ribosomal RNA
Source: RNAcentral